RNAcentral lists this long non-coding RNA (887 nucleotides) under Equus asinus (donkey). RNAcentral describes it as "lncRNA (ENSEASG00005036918.1)". Lineage: Eukaryota; Metazoa; Chordata; Mammalia; Perissodactyla; Equidae. The record is from RNAcentral.
UGGGCCUCCGGCUGCCAGUCGGCGGGCGGCCCCCGCCAUCCUCUCCUAGUGUCUCCGGGGCCAGCCGUUGGGACCCCAUUUGCCCCGGGUCUGGUGUUUGGGGUGGUUCCUGGCUGCCCGGUUCGUCUCCACCUUCUCACCUCCACCCCAUCUUGGGACCGGAACCUUUAUGAAAGUUUAAAGCGAACUUACUAUAGGAGCCUGGGACCUGGUGGGACUACAUUAUAUGGUAGCUCUUUGUUACAGCACUUAAUAUAGUCCCUUGAACAGACGAGGAGAUGGUAUGCACGAGAGCAGCUCCUUACUGACUACGUGGACAGCCCUCCAGUACAUAGUUGUAUAUUCUUCGUUGUGGGUCCUUCUAGUUGUGGCAUGUGGGACGCUGCCUCAGCGUGGUUUGAUGAGCAGUGCCAUGUCCGCGCCCAGGAUUCGAACCAACGAAACACUGGGCCGCCUGCAGCAGAGCGCGCGAACUUAACCACUCGGCCACGGGGCCAGCCCCGUGAUUCAGUAUUCUUAACGUGAGCUGUGUUUAUUUGGAAAAACUGUUCAUUUAGAGUCACACGUAUUCAUUCAAGGAAUCCAAGAAAAGCCUUAUAGAAAAUGUUCAUCCAGUCUCUAAGGUUGAGAUGCUGGUAAUUGAAAGUUCUACCCUGUUACUUUGUCGUUAUCACAGUGGAAUGCUCAUCCGCGGUGACGUGCUUGCUGGGAGAGAAUCCAUUACCAUUUCCCAAAGGCUGCGUCGGAGGCUCAGGUUCUAACACUGGAAUUCUUUCAAGUCUGUCUGCUGUUGGCAGAUCUAACGUAAAGGCUCUUAUAUCUGCUCUGGGGAGCUCAGCCUCCAACCAGCUAAGAUACUGGGAAGAAAGCAAAUAUUUAUCCUUGGA